Long non-coding RNA from Centruroides sculpturatus (bark scorpion), 453 nucleotides. RefSeq lists it as uncharacterized. NCBI's taxonomy places the organism in Eukaryota, Metazoa, Arthropoda, Arachnida, Scorpiones, Buthidae. The record is from RefSeq and is a predicted model, not a curated record. The transcript is spliced from 2 exons.
UGUUAGUAGUAAUGUUUAUUCUCUAUUUAUUAUGAUUUUAAAUGAAUUGAUUUUCUUUUCAGAUUAAUCUUCUAAAAGCAAAUGGCAGUGGAGGAAAGUACCUAAUAGCAAUAACUGAUCAAGUAGGCAAAGGGCCAGCCUUCAGAGUGGACGGGGGAUACAUCAAUCCGGAUGACAUCAAAUCCUACAAGCACAGAUGCUUGCUCUUUAGUAUCCUGAAUGCAGCCAGACAGAUGUCCUAUUUACCAAUUUCAUCAUACCAAUUGUAUCUCCUGAAGGUGUUAUACCUCUUUGAGUUGCGCAAGAUUGAAGCAUCUGAAUUGUGUACCGUCUAUCGGAAAGCAACAAAAUUAUGUACGGAAUGUUCAGUUCUAUUGCAUGAAAUAAGCAGUCCAGAGCAAAUGAUGACUUUUCGAGCAGUUUUUUGUCUGAUAGAUUUUAUUGGCAGAAAAC